AUGUAAGUGACGAGUCCCAAAUAGGAUGAAACACGUGUCAAAUUGGAU
Molecule: non-coding RNA, 48 nt
Filed under: Schistosoma margrebowiei
Lineage: Eukaryota; Metazoa; Platyhelminthes; Trematoda; Strigeidida; Schistosomatidae
Source: RNAcentral